CCUACGGGUGGCAGCAGUGGGGAAUAUUGGACAAUGGGCGAAAGCCUGAUCCAGCCAUGCCGCGUGUGUGAAGAAGGCCUUCGGGUUGUAAAGCACUUUCAGUGGGGAAGAAAGCCUUGGGGCUAAUACCCUCGAGGAAGGACAUCACCCACAGAAGAAGCACCGGCUAACUCCGUGCCAGCAGCCGCGGUAAUACGGAGGGUGCGAGCGUUAAUCGGAAUUUCUGGGCGUAAAGCGCGCGUAGGCGGUCUGAUAAGCCGGUUGUGAAAGCCCCGGGCUCAACCUGGGAACGGCAUCCGGAACUGUCAGGCUAGAGUGCAGGAGAGGAAGGUAGAAUUCCCGGUGUAGCGGUGAAAUGCGUAGAGAUCGGGAGGAAUACCAGUGGCGAAGGCGGCCUUCUGGACUGACACUGACGCUGAGGUGCGAAAGCGUGGGUAGCAAACAGGAUUAGAUACCCCAGUAGUC
This 465-nucleotide ribosomal RNA is filed under the name Vreelandella stevensii. RNAcentral describes it as "partial 16S ribosomal RNA". It matches the Rfam family "Bacterial small subunit ribosomal RNA", at positions 338 to 795 of the family's 1533-position model. The record is from RNAcentral. Lineage: Bacteria; Pseudomonadati; Pseudomonadota; Gammaproteobacteria; Oceanospirillales; Halomonadaceae.